This 201-nucleotide long non-coding RNA is filed under the name Lathyrus oleraceus (garden pea). RNAcentral's name for it is "Pisum sativum (pea) long non-coding RNA (PSAT_LNC012519)". The record is from RNAcentral. Lineage: Eukaryota; Viridiplantae; Streptophyta; Magnoliopsida; Fabales; Fabaceae.
AAAAAAAGACUUAUUUUUGGUGUCUGCGCAGGGCAAAUCGAUUUACCUAAUUGGGUAAAUCGAUUUCCCUAUUUUUUUUUUUUUUAAAUUCAUGCCUUGAGCCCAUGCAAUAUGUCUUUGGUUAUGAAUGUUAAUAUAAUUAUGAUGAUGAAAUAAUGAAAGCAUGCAUGUGCAGUAGGGCCAUGGAUCAGAUGAAAGUUG